This 254-nucleotide ribosomal RNA is filed under the name uncultured bacterium. Its description in RNAcentral is "partial 16S ribosomal RNA". It matches the Rfam family "Bacterial small subunit ribosomal RNA", at positions 524 to 776 of the family's 1533-position model. The record is from RNAcentral.
UACGGGGGGAGCAAGCGUUGUUCGGAUUUACUGGGCGUAAAGGGCGCGUAGGCGGUCAGCACAAGUCAGUUGUGAAAUCUCCGGGCUUAACUCGGAAAGGUCAACUGAUACUGUGCGACUAGAGUGCAGAAGGGGCAACUGGAAUUCUCGGUGUAGCGGUGAAAUGCGUAGAUAUCGAGAGGAACACCGGUGGCGAAGGCGGCUUCCUGGACCGACACUGACGCUGAGGCGCGAAAGCUAGGGGAGCAAACGGG